Molecule: ribosomal RNA, 406 nt
Filed under: uncultured bacterium
Lineage: Bacteria
Description: partial 16S ribosomal RNA
Rfam family: Bacterial small subunit ribosomal RNA
Source: RNAcentral
GAUGAACGCUAGCUACAGGCUUAACACAUGCAAGUCGAGGGACCGGCGCACGGGUGAGUAACACGUAUCCAACCUGCCCUUUACUCGGGGAUAGCCUUUCGAAAGAAAGAUUAAUACCCGAUAUAAAGGAUGGGGAUGCGUUCGUGUAGGUUGUGGGUGAGGUAACGGCCAACCAAGCUUUCGAUGGCUAGGGGUUCUGAGAAGAAGGUCCACCACAAUGGAACCGCGACACAGUCCAAUCUCCGACGGGAGGCAGCAGUGAGGAAGACUAGUCAAUGAACGUUAGCCUGAACCUGCCAAGUAGGGUGAAGGAGGAUGGCUUAUGAAUCAUAAACUUCUUUUAUAUAAGAAUAUGUAUUAUAUGAAUAAGGAUCGGCUAACUCCGUGCCAGCAGCCGCGGUAAUAC